UUCAGAUCAGGGUGUCCAAUCUCACAAAUACCAUUUUGGCUAUAAAAUGAGACAUUCCAUUGACCAUCAAAACCCAAAUCAUAACUAAAAGGACAGAAAGAGUCUGCAAAUCCAUACAUUAUAUAUAACAAACCUUCAACAUGGCAGAAGAACCUGCUCAAAGGAAAAUGGAAUGGCGAGAGCUUGUUUUUGUAAAAUUUUCUAUUGCUGCUGCGAUCAUAGAAAAAGAAAACCCUGAUGUGAAGGCUAUCAAAAUCCUAGCUGGUACUCCUAGACUUCAUAGUUUUGAUGCUACACGAGUUUGGGUUGAUUGCAAUAUAGAAGAUGUGGUUGUUCUAAUCCCUAUAGUUGGUUAGAGAUUAGGUAAUGUAUAAGGUCAAUCAUAUAUGUACGAUGUUUACGUGUAUGUUAAGUGAAUUGUAUACUUAUCGAUGCCCUUCAAUUGUACUAAUUAAUAAAGUAUUUCAACUGAUCAUCGUUUCAACAAUAAAAUUAUAAUCAUUAUCAA
Long non-coding RNA from Cucumis melo (muskmelon), 508 nucleotides. RefSeq lists it as uncharacterized. Lineage: Eukaryota; Viridiplantae; Streptophyta; Magnoliopsida; Cucurbitales; Cucurbitaceae. The transcript is spliced from 2 exons. The record is from RefSeq and is a predicted model, not a curated record.